Molecule: ribosomal RNA, 448 nt
Filed under: uncultured bacterium
Lineage: Bacteria
Description: bacterial SSU rRNA
Rfam family: Bacterial small subunit ribosomal RNA
Source: RNAcentral
UGAGCAGCAACGCCGCGUGAGAGGACGACGGCCUUCGGGUUGUAAACCUCUUUUAGCAGGGAAGAAGCGAAAGUGACGGUACCUGCAGAAAAAGCGCCGGCUAACUACGUGCCAGCAGCCGCGGUAAUACGUAGGGGUCGAGCGUUGUCCGGAGUUACUGGGCGUAAAGCGCGUGCAGGUGGCUCAUUACGCCCGGCGUGAAAGCCCCCGGCUCAACCGGGGAGGGUCGUCGGGGACGGAUGGGCUUGAGGGUCGCAGGGGCUGGUGGAAUUCCCGGUGUAGUGGUGAAAUGCGUAGAGAUCGGGAGGAACACCUGUGGCGAAGGCGGCCAGCUGGGCCGACCCUGACGCUGAGGCACGAAGGCGUGGGGAGCGAACGGGAUUAGAUACCCCGGUAGUCCACGCAGUAAACGAUGCAAACUAGGCGUGGGGGGACUUGACCCCCCUCC